UACGAAGGGGGCUCGCGUUGCUCGGAAUGACUGGGCGUAAAGGGCGCGUAGGCGGCUCAUACAGUCAGAUGUGAAAUUCCUGGGCUUAACCUGGGGGCUGCAUCCAAAACUGGCGGGCUAGAGUUCUGGAGGGGGUAGCGGAAUUCCUGGUGUAGCGGUGAAAUGCGUAGAUAUCAGGAGGAACACCGGUGGCGAAGGCGGCUACCUGGACAGAAACUGACGCUGAGGCGCGAAAGCUAGGGGAGCAAACAGG
Molecule: ribosomal RNA, 253 nt
Filed under: uncultured bacterium
Lineage: Bacteria
Description: partial 16S ribosomal RNA
Rfam family: Bacterial small subunit ribosomal RNA
Source: RNAcentral